GAUACUGAAACAAUUUGCAUACUGAUUCUCUUUCAGUGCGCACAGAUCCAUAACAACACCGGCCAGCUAUUCAAAUGCGCCUACAUCCAGAAAAGCACGGAGAGAAGCUACGGCACCGGAGCAGGAAAAGAGAGGCUUAUUGCGAGACGGAUAAUUUGCGAUUGGAAACGGAGACGCAUGCAGCGGCUAAGGAUGUUUACCUCGGUCAGGAUUUGGGACUCUGGCCGCUCUGGAGAAAAGCUGGAAGCCGGAGGAAGAGGACGAGGGAGAGGGUGGGACGGGGGGAAAACACACACGGAGGAAACGCGCGGAUGCAAGAGCAUCCUCUGGUUUUUGCAACUCAGCUGCCGAAAUAUUGAUCCACGGUCCUCUCUGCGAGGCAUUAUAUUGUUUCUGCUCGGAUAUGCUGCUCUGGGCUUCACGGGAAUAUGCCCUGAUUAAUAAUCAGUGUGAAACCUGUAAGUAAUUGACACAGUGCCUUCAGGUGCCCAUUGCCUGGCCUCACUUUGCUGCAGCACGUACUUUUCUUUUUCAUAUAAAACUGGAUUAUAGUAAAACAAAAAAUAAAAAAACGAAAUAAUCUAUUUUUCCAAACUCCUCUGCAAAUCCACAUCCUGCACAUGCAUGCAUCUGCGAGGCACUACUUGUUGGCCCUUUUGCCUCUGUUUUCUUUGUACUAAUUGAAUUGAAUCCCGCUUGAAAUGUAUCCUCUUUCAGAAGUGCUUAGACAACCGUGUCCCUUAUAGGCUAUUCUCUGCAAAGCAAAUGUCACCGGCUCGGAGGGCCAGGCCUAUCUCGGCACAAUGGCCAUAGAGAGCCAACACACAUAAACACACAGCUCAGGUCGUGCAGACAUGGCAGGAGUGUAUCGAUCCGUAUGAGAAUGUGUAGAUGAGGUUUGCUGCCAUAUAAGGCCAAACAUUGGCCUUUCAUAUUCCUCAGUCUUUCUACAUCGUGUCUCUGGAUCGGGUGUGCAGCGAAAUAAAAAUAGAGCAAAUUGGCCACUUGACAAAUACAGAAAAGAGAGUUAUAAAAUCUAUAAUUUUAAAGAACAAUGCAAAACUGUAUAUAAUCUGUAUAUUAGAAGAUGACAAAAAUCGGAUUAAAUUGAAGUGUGGGUACCUAUAAUAUGGAGCAUGAAACAGCUGAUUUAAAAUGAAUUGUAAGCAUAUUCACGGUGUUUUUGUUUCCCUGUUGACAGCCCUUCUAUUAUGUCCGCAGGACUACACGGUUGGACAGCCACACUUCGAGGAAUUAGUGUCCUUUUGUCUCGACACACGUCACACACACGCCGUUGACAUUGACUUCACAUCAGAGACAGUUUAACUUCUCCUCUUUUUUUUCUUCUUUUCUUUUAUUUAACUCGUUCAACCGAGUGCUGGGUCUAUUGUGGGGACCCUGACAGAUGCAGGGCCCCUAGCAGGUCCAGGACAGGGAAAAGUCUGAAAGGUUAAUCUGUCCCCCCGCAGAUGUUGGCUUUGGGAGUCUUGAAGCGUCACCUUUGACAUGUCCCUCAUUCAGCAGGGGGUCCAGCAGGACACUGACCGCUGCAAGCUGUCACCUCGGCCGGCGGAGGACGCCCUGCGCUACCGCUCUAUUAGGCUAAACGGCCCCUGACAUGUAAGCAGGGACCGGCUUUUAUCAGGCUGCAGGUUUGGGGAGUUUGACACCCAUGCAGCAUAAAGCCGUACAACAACACGGGGAUACCAGUCGUGUUAUGUGUCAGCAUGUCAUUUCCUCCACGGCCUUGGACUUUAUAGAGAAGUUGAGAUUGUGUCUGUGAGUGAAUUUGUAUAAUUUAGAAGUUUCUGUCGACAACAAUAAAUGUUCUCUUAUUGAAUAAAUAAAAUGUUGGAGUUUUAUU
Molecule: long non-coding RNA, 1864 nt
Organism: Cottoperca gobio
Lineage: Eukaryota; Metazoa; Chordata; Actinopteri; Perciformes; Bovichtidae
Source: Ensembl